AGGAUAUUAGUUAAUCUAUUAUAACAUUUAAUUUGCAAUUAAAAAUUAUGUAUUUUUCUCAUAUAUCUUA
This 70-nucleotide transfer RNA is filed under the name Pheidole tristis. Its description in RNAcentral is "tRNA-Ala". The record is from RNAcentral. Lineage: Eukaryota; Metazoa; Arthropoda; Insecta; Hymenoptera; Formicidae.